UUCCCCUUUGCUUUGCUUUCACGUCAUUCUCCAGAGGGGGCAGACAAGCAACGCAAGAGACCUCCCGAUCCCCUGCCCGCAGUCUCCGCUCCCCGGUUUCCCCCUUCUCCAUUUAUUAGGGGCACGUUCACUUGUUGAUCCAGCUACUUCACCUUGCUAGCUGGGGAUCGGCGUCUCCCCUCCUCGCCGCUCAAGUUUCCAAGCGCCUGGCUCGAAUCUACUUCACGUGGGUGGGGCUCGCUCAUCCCACCUCCGCUUCUUGCCGCCGAUCCAGAUCCUUGACAUGCGAGACUGAUGGCGGCGGCAGAAGCGAGAGCUGCUUGGCAACGGGCCGCCAACCGCUGCCUAUUUCAGGAGGAUGCAAAGAGGGCUCCGAAACUGGCCUGCUGUCCACCGUCGAUGCAACAGCAUGAAGCAAACAGCGGGAACCCCACCAGUCCGCGAGACUGCCACAUCCCAAACUUCAUGCAUCUGAACUGGAACCCGAUGAACUCCAAUCAGCCGAUAGAUGCGUGGUUUCUUCAGCUGCAGCCCAAUUUCGGGUGCCACAAGGUGCUUUCUGGUGACCAUCUGAAUUACAUGGGCGGAGAAGCCAAUGUGAAGAAAGUGGACAGUUUCUCGCCCGUCUCUACGCUUGACGACAUCAACACGAAGAAGAGCGAGUGCCCUUCUGAGCCGCCAUGGAUGGUCUCAACAGCUUUUAUGAAGCAAACAUCUGAAGCACCUUGCGAAGGGUGCCCUCAAACGAGUCUCAAGUGCAGAGGAAAUUCCAAUAACUUCCUUCACGAGGAUAAAGAGGUUAUGGACUUCAAUACUUUUGACCCUUUGUUUCCGAAGAAACCAAAGAAGGCAUGCUAUGAGAUGGAUCCACCUUGGGAACAAGACAGGAAGUCUCAGCCCUGGUGGCAAGUAGCUGACGAGGAAGGAUUGGCUUCGCUUGUUGCAGAAAGAGCAAUGCAGCACAUUGAGAACAACGAUCUGCCAAAACCCACUCAGAUAGUGCGUAUUCAUGGGGCAAAAUUGAACGGCCAUGAAAGCAAGGAUGGCUGUGGGAAAUCAUCAUCUUCUUCUGGUAAAGAGUCGCAGCCUCAACUACACGACACUAUGAUGUGCAGCUAUAGCCUCUCAAGCACCAAUGAGAUGAAUUCAUCUGACGGUGGAGGCUGGCAACAGUCUCACAAAAAUGAUGCGCAUGGGGGCACGCAGGAUUCAUAUAGUAGUGGUGAUCACACACCAGGCAGCAAGCCCACAUAUCAGAAUCAGAAAGACGCCGAGAGGGCCCAGCUACUGGACGCUCUUCGCCAUUCGCAGACACGGGCUAGGGAAGCCGAGGUGGCUGCCAAGAAUGCUCAUGAUGAGAAAGACCAUGUCGUCAAGCUAUUGUUUCGUCAGGCCUCGCACCUCUUUGCGUGUAAGCAGUGGCUGAAAAUGCUGCAGCUGGAGAACAUAUGCCUCCAGCUCAGGUUGAAAGAGCAUCAGAUAGCAGCCAUGUUCCCGGAGCUUCCCUGGACGGUGAUGAAGGAGGAGAAGGUGGACCCAGAAGGGGAGCGAAAAGGCAGGGCAAAGAAGAAAGGCAGGAGGCAGAACAAGGAAGGUGGCUUCUGCAAGGCCAUCAUGUUUGCAGUUGGCGUAGGCAUCGUUGGUGCAGGAUUGCUCCUUGGCUGGACCUUUGGGUGGCUGCUGCCCAGGAGGAUGAAAUGAUGGAAUUCUUAGAACCACUUGUAUUUGGAAGCCUUGCUGGUGAUAUCUCUCCACGGUCCACGCCACGCCUUUGUGUAUAUAUAGGAAGGGUUUUAGUGUACAUAUUUGCCAGAGAUGGGUAUUUCUGGCACACCUGUUGGUUCCAUGGGUGAUGGGUUGAAGGUGUAAAUAGUGUGCCUGAGUGGUGGUGGAACUCCAAAAUCAGUCGACUUGAACGGUGUGUAAGCCUGUACUGUAAGUAUGUCUGUUUAGACAAUGUGUACUGCAAGCAUAUGUAACUUUGUUGUAUUCUUGAUGUAAGAGGAGUUGUAUUAGUCGCUGGUUGGUAGCAACUACAUGUAAACCUGGGCUGUAAGCCUAUAACUUGGUUCUUUGUUUAAUGUAUGUAAGAGAAGUUGUAUUACUCAGCUUGGUGUUGACUAACUGAGCAC
Molecule: ribosomal RNA, 2132 nt
Filed under: Triticum aestivum (bread wheat)
Lineage: Eukaryota; Viridiplantae; Streptophyta; Magnoliopsida; Poales; Poaceae
Description: partial small subunit ribosomal RNA
Source: RNAcentral